RNA transcript from Dermacentor andersoni, 3960 nucleotides. It is a transcript of the gene named nimA-like kinase, with no coding region annotated. The record is from RefSeq and is a predicted model, not a curated record. Lineage: Eukaryota; Metazoa; Arthropoda; Arachnida; Ixodida; Ixodidae.
GUCCAAAAUAUUUAUUAGCAAUAUUUAAACAAGUAACAGCGUUGUCUAGUUAGAUAACAGGAAAAGCUACAGAGGGUCAUACUUAUUUUAACAUCAUCAUCAUCAAGUUUCACCGUGACGUGCGCAAAGGCGGCAAGCUUAAAACUGAAUCUUCAGUUGUUUCGAUUUAGGUAUCCGAGUUUGAAGUAGUGUUUUGUCGUCUAGUAGUUUGGCGUUUGGGCACUAAACUGGUGGGGUGAUUAUUCUUUGGUGACGCUUUGUUCGCUGUCCGUUUGCCAUCAGCAGUGAACUAAGUAGUUGCAUUAGCCUUGCUGAAAAUGGACAGAUACGAGAAGAUUGAAGUGGUCGGAAGAGGCGCAUUUGGGGUUGUAACGCUGUACUCCGAGAAGUCCACCGGACGGAAAGUGGUCAUCAAGCACAUUCCUGUGCAGCAGAUGUCCAAAGAAGAGAAGGAAGGGUCCCUGAAUGAGGCCAAAGUGCUAGCGAUGCUGCACCAUCCCAACAUCAUUGCCUAUUACGACAGCUUCCUCGAGGAAAAGAGCUUGGCCAUUGUCAUGGAGUAUGCCCCAGGUGGAAACUUGUAUGAUUACCUAAAGCAAAGAGGCCGUGCCCUGCUUUCUGAGAGGGAAGUGCUGAGCUACUUUGCGCAAGUAUUGCUCGCCUUAGAGCACGUUCACUCCAGAAAAAUCCUGCACAGGGACCUCAAGACUCAGAACCUGCUUCUGAACCAAUGCCGCAGCAUCGUCAAAGUUGGCGACUUUGGCAUCUCGAAGAUUCUGAGCAGCAAAAGCAAGGCAGAAAGCCUGGUAGGCACUCCAAACAACCUCUCACCAGAGGUAUUUGUAGGCAAACCCUACAACCACAAGAGUGACAUCUGGGCACUCGGCUGUAUUCUGUAUGAACUACUGACACUGAGAAGUCCCUUUGAAGGCAAUCACAUUCCAAGCCUGGUGAGAAAGAUCAUGCGAGGAUCCUAUGAGCCCGUGAGUGACCACUACAGCGCACAGAUUCACCUUCUGCUCGAGCAACUGCUGCAGAAGGAGCCAUCGCAGCGGCCAUCUGUCAACCAGCUCAUGGCACAACCCAUUUUGCUGCCUGUAAUCUGCAACCUCUACCUCACCAUCGGCUCACUACCCUGCGUUGCACAGAAAGACCGUUUGUCUUCAACACUGUCUUUGGCUAGUGUCGGUCAACAGUCUCGUGCCAGCUCAGGAGAUUUGUCAACAUCACUGCUUGUCUGGGAGAGUAAGAGUGCAGCACCUGUUAAGCUGGAAGUACCGGAUGGUCAUGGCUGCGUUAGUGAUGUGGCUGUUGGAGUGGAUUCUGUUGUAGCCGUCACAUCAUAUGGCAGUGCCAUCGUUUGGAAAGUGCCAAGUCCGGCAAGAGAGAAGACUUGCGAAGCAAAGGUCCUAAAGGACUACCUCAGUGACCGUAUAACCCGUGCUGGUUGUGGAGCCGACUUCAUCAUUUUGCUGUCAGAACGUAAGAUACUUCUGUCUUGUGGACGUGGGCAGUCAGGCAGCCUCGGUCACGGCGGCCAUUUUGACAGUGCAAAUAAACCCAAGAUAGUGCAAGCUUUGCUAGGCCACGAGAUAACACAUGUGGCCUGUGCAGCGUCGCAUGUUCUUGCCAUCGAUGAAAAUCAUGACAUCUAUGCCUGGGGAGAUGCCAGACAUGGAAUGCUGGGGAUUGACUUUUCCACUUCAACGGAUCUUCCCGUAAAAGUGGAGCUACCUGGUGGCGUUCGUCCCAUGCACUGUUUCUGCACAAUGGACAGCAGCUACCUGGUCACAGAUGCAGGUGAACUUUGGGCCUGUGGAAGCAACAGGAAUAAGAAGCUAGGCAUCAACGAUGGCAGAAAACACAUAGGAGAAUUCACUGAAGUUCCUCGGCGGCUGUUUGCAGGACAUCAUGUGAUUCACGUGACUGGCAAUGAAAACACCACCAUGAUACUAACUGAUGUUGGCAUGGUCUUCCUUCUGGGACUGCAACAGUACUCUGCUGCUACCAGCGAUGGUGCAACUGCCAGGAUGGUUUCUCUUGGAGCACAGGCAACACACGUGGGCUGUGCUGGAGACCUGUUUGUAGCUGUGCUCAAAGGUCAGUUUGUGUCAUUUUUUUCUGGCCAACACAUGCACGUUCAACCACCUACACUUCACAUCUUACACAGUAUUCCUACUCCAAAUGCUAAGGUACAGUCACAUCAAUAAACAAGGUCAUGAAGGAAUCAACAAUAGAUAACGGUGCAUGGUACACAGUAUUCCUACUCCAAAUGCUAAGGUACAGUCACAUCAAUAAACAAGGUCAUGAGCAAUCAACAAUAGAUAACGAUGCAUGGUACCAUCAGCUUCAAAAGAUAGAUUUAACUGCAGCUACGCUUUAAAGACAGCCUCUGGCCACGCUCAUCGUGAACUUGUUUUAACUUUUUGCAUCAUCUAUAUUCAGUAUUCACGUGAUGUGCUUAGUCUAUCUUUGUUUCCCUGUUUAUCAAUCAUGAAUUUAUGCUUUGUUGCCCCAUACCAAUACUAGCUGGGCCUACAAAAUACACCAAAGUGAAAAGCUCUAGAUAAAUUUCGACCACCUGCAUGGGUUUCGUAAUGUACACCUAAAUCAAAGUUCAUAAAUGUUUUUACAUUUCACCAGCAUUGGAAUACGGUUUCCACAGCCGGGAGUCGGACCUGCCACUUUAUGCUCAGAAGCACGAUGCCACGGUCACUAAGCCACCAUGGCAGGCACAGUUGGCGUCAAAAGUUUAUGGAUCGCGGGCUAUAAGAAAAUGUUGAAUUUCUAAGCAGUUUGCGACUGCAGCCAGUAAAACCGUAACACAAUGUUGUUUGCAUUCAAUGGUACUGACUGAAAAUUGGAGUAUCGCAUGGUGUGCUCAGGAACUGGAAAUAUUCAGCUUUUUCCCAAAUCCUCUGGUUUGUAAGCUUUUGACAACAACUGUACGUAAAUAGUCCACACAUCCUCACUGGGCUAGCAGAAGGGCACAGUAAGUGAACAGACCAUGUGCCUGUGCAACACACCCUAGCAUCUAGCUUUCAAUGCAGAUAUUUAGCUUGCAAAAAACAUCACUUAUGCAGUUAUUCAAAUACAAGUUUCCUACAGCUUUUUCUCUAAUCCCGCGAUUUGUAAACUUAUGACACAGACUGUAUGUACCUUAGUGGACUAACAGAAGGGCAAAUUAAGUGAAUAAAGCAUACACACACAGACACCUAGCUUCCAACAUUCAACGCAGAUUCUUGGCUAACAUCACUUCUGCAGUCUUUAAACUACAGAUUGUAUAUGGCUGCAAUGCCUCGCACUUUCAACAUGUUUUCCAAACGGCGUACGUAUCCUAGGUUCGUAUCGGAUAUAAUUGCUCUCUCCUAGAGGCAGAAAAUAUGGUCGUAUCUCAACCACAAGUUCAACACACUGCAAUCAACAGGGAUAACUGUUUCAAAUGGAAUUCUUGAAUCUAUAUGUUACACACAUGGCAAGGAUAUAAGCAGCAGCACUUAACUGCCGUGGUCUUACACCUGGCCAGAACAGAGUCAAUCAUAUUCCUUGCCCCAUUAUUACAUAUUUUAACCCGAUAGUGUUAAGGGUCCCCUGCCGUAGAAAAUCAGGUGUCGGUAUCCAGUGCCGGCGACCCUGUGAUCGAAAAUUUCCGUAUAUAUUUAGGUAUAUAUAUAUGCCAUAUUUUGCUAUACAACAUGCUGUAUAUGUGGGUUAUAUUGCCACACCAUCUUAUCACAAAAUUUGCUCAUACCUUGUCUUAGAUUUUUGACAAAGUUUUUUGGCGUGGCUGAGCAUUACCUUCAGGAUCGGCCCACGCAAGAGGAUGCAUUUCUACCAGAAAGUUCACCUCCAUGCGUAGCGUUCAUCACCACCAUUUCCCGGCACAAAACUCGUGCAGUGGAAACACCUGAAGCCAGACAACAAACCAGAAGAGAUAUAUCCGGCGCCACAGUUACCAGA